RNAcentral lists this small nuclear RNA (313 nucleotides) under Rattus norvegicus (Norway rat). RNAcentral's name for it is "7SK RNA". It matches the Rfam family "7SK RNA". From Rfam's summary of the family: 7SK was discovered as an abundant small nuclear RNA in the mid-70s but a possible function has only recently been suggested. Two independent studies have found that 7SK RNA binds the CDK9/cyclin T complex (known as elongation factor P-TEFb). P-TEFb activates transcription by phosphorylating the C-terminal domain of RNA polymerase II. Lineage: Eukaryota; Metazoa; Chordata; Mammalia; Rodentia; Muridae. The record is from Rfam by way of RNAcentral.
GGGUGUGAGGGCCAUCUGCCUACAACAUAUGUCACUCCAGUGGUGCCUAGAGUUGACUAAGGUGAUGUGGCAGGCUUGGCAGGUGGACUGUCCCACCCUCGCCAUUCCAUGUGCACCCCUCCUAAAGCUGCAUCUCAUUCUAAGAGAGUGACUCACCUUCCUUGGCAGAGCACGGUCAUUUUCUGGUCAGAGGUACACAGGCGCUAUGCCCCCAGCCAGAACCUCCAAAUAAGCUCUCAGACACAGCAGAUCCAACAUUGUAAUGAGGAUCUCUCUUCAUAAAACAUUAGUGUUUGUUGUUUUGUUAUUCUGA